RNAcentral lists this ribosomal RNA (492 nucleotides) under uncultured bacterium. RNAcentral describes it as "partial 16S ribosomal RNA". It matches the Rfam family "Bacterial small subunit ribosomal RNA", at positions 29 to 507 of the family's 1533-position model. The record is from RNAcentral.
AGUGAACGCUGGCGGUAGGCCUAACACAUGCAAGUCGAACGGCAGCACAGUAAGAGCUUGCUCUUACGGGUGGCGAGUGGCGGACGGGUGAGGAAUACAUCGGAGUCUACUUUUUCGUGGGGGAUAACGUAGGGAAACUUACGCUAAUACCGCAUACGACCUACGGGUGAAAGCAGGGGAUCUUCGGACCUUGCGCGAUUGAAUGAGCCGAUGUCGGAUUAGCUAGUUGGCGGGGUAAAGGCCCACCAAGGCGACGAUCCGUAGCUGGUCUGAGAGGAUGAUCAGCCACACUGGAACUGAGACACGGUCCAGACUCCUACGGGAGACAGCAGUGGGGAAUAUUGGACAAUGGGCGCAAGCCUGAUCCAGCCAUACCGCGUGGGUGAAGAAGGCCUUCGGGUUGUAAAGCCCUUUUGUUGGGAAAGAAAAGCAGCAGGUUAAUACCCCGCUGUUCUGACGGUACCCAAAGAAUAAGCACCGGCUAACUUCGUG